RNAcentral lists this transfer RNA (65 nucleotides) under Nomadacris japonica. Its description in RNAcentral is "tRNA-Ile". Lineage: Eukaryota; Metazoa; Arthropoda; Insecta; Orthoptera; Acrididae. The record is from RNAcentral.
AAUGAAGUGCCUGAUUAAAGGGCUAUCUUGAUAGGGUAGAUAAAGUAAGUGUAUUACCUUCAUUA